AGCUGCAGAAAGUAAGCUAUCAUAGCAAUUUCUCAUGUCUUGCAUGUCCUGGGCUGCUUCAGCGAGCUCAUCCAACUGAGCGGAAGGUAAAAGGUCUCUUUUGUCCUUAGCAUCGGUCUUGUGAAGCUUAAAUCCAAACUUACCUAACGGAGAUUUCAUUUCUCGAAAACCCUAACGCAAUGAGGCGGAAACAAAGCAGACCAAGAGAGGCACAGGGGGAGAGAGGAAGAGAGAUAAUCGAAGCUCUUCGUUUUCCUCGUUUAGCGUGGAAUCCAAAUUCUCCGUUAAUUUGGAGAGGAAUU
RNAcentral lists this unclassified non-coding RNA (302 nucleotides) under Hevea brasiliensis (rubber tree). Lineage: Eukaryota; Viridiplantae; Streptophyta; Magnoliopsida; Malpighiales; Euphorbiaceae. The record is from RNAcentral.